CACUGAGUGUGACACUAAGGAGAGCGCAUGACUGUUAAUCAUGAUGUCACUGGUUCGAGCCCAGUUGGGGGAGCCA
This 76-nucleotide transfer RNA is filed under the name Ruminococcus sp. YE282. RNAcentral describes it as "tRNA_Pseudo_GTT". Lineage: Bacteria; Bacillati; Bacillota; Clostridia; Eubacteriales; Oscillospiraceae. The record is from RNAcentral.